This 775-nucleotide ribosomal RNA is filed under the name uncultured Neocallimastigales. Its description in RNAcentral is "partial large subunit ribosomal RNA". It matches the Rfam family "Eukaryotic large subunit ribosomal RNA", at positions 23 to 642 of the family's 3401-position model. The record is from RNAcentral. Lineage: Eukaryota; Fungi; Neocallimastigomycota; Neocallimastigomycetes; Neocallimastigales.
ACACGCAUGACACACUGCAUAUCAAUAAGCGGAGGAAAAGAAACUAACAAGGAUUCCCCUAGUAACGGCGAGUGAAGCGGGAAGAGCUCAAAUUUGAAAUCUUCAAGGUUUGACCUUGACGAAUUGUAGUUUAAAGAAGUGUUUUCGGUUAGAGGAGUAGUAAAAGUUCUUUGGAAUAGGACAUCAUAGAGGGUGAGAAUCCCGUAUUUGACCAUUAUUUCCAGCUUUGUGAUACACUUUCAACGAGUCGGAUUGUUUGGGAAUGCAGUCCAAAAUGGGUGGUAAAUUUCAUCUAAAGCUAAAUAUUGGCGAGAGACCGAUAGCGAACAAGUACCGUGAGGGGAAGAUGAAAAGAACUUUGAAAAGAGAGUUAAACAGUACGUGAAAUUGUCAAAAGGGAAGCGUUUGACACCAGUGUUGUUUUUUCCGAAAAUCAAUUACGAAUGUUUUGUUUUUAAGGAGUUAUGACUUCAUCGGCUUGCUUCUUUCUUUACGAAACUUUCUUAAUGCACUUUUCGGUUAACAAGUCAACAUCAAUUUCUUUUGUUGUAAAAGGGUAUGAGGAAGGUGGCUUUCUUUUCGGAGAAAGUGUUUAUAGCCUUGUACCUCUGCAAUCGGAGAGAUUGAGGUCUGCAGCGUAGAUCCUUCGGGGUUAGAUACAUUUGUGCUAAGCUAUAGCCUUUCAUAGACAACUUGUUGACUAUGAUCAGUCAUGUAGCUUACUCGCUUAUGCUAUUUUACCUACGCUUAGGAUGUUGAGCGCAUGUCUCUCUCU